Molecule: ribosomal RNA, 141 nt
Filed under: Streptocarpus dunnii
Lineage: Eukaryota; Viridiplantae; Streptophyta; Magnoliopsida; Lamiales; Gesneriaceae
Description: partial 18S ribosomal RNA
Rfam family: Eukaryotic small subunit ribosomal RNA
Source: RNAcentral
UGGCCGGUGAAGUGUUCGGAUCGCUCCGACGUGGGCGGUUCGCUGCCCGCGACGUAGCGAGAAGUCCACUGAACCUUAUCAUUUAGAGGAAGGAGAAGUCGUAACAAGGUUUCCGUAGGUGAACCUGCGGAAGGAUCAUUG